CUGUCGGCCUGCUGCAAAAACAAGAACAAGGACCAAGGACUAGACGCAAACACAUGUCAUCGCACGCCCAGAUUGAACAGAUUUAACAAGCGACGACGUAAUGCCUGAGACUCUCUGCCGGUCGCAUUUACAAAAUAUGUACAACGGGAGUUGAUGCAAAACGACCUUACUAUAUCUGCGAAUUCAAUUUGACCACAGAUGAACACAAAGUGAAUUUAAAAUGUUUUCAAUAAUUUUGUUUUCAUACAAAGAAAACCAGCCUGACUAAAAAUUCCUUAGAGAUCACAAUAACGAGUGAAUAAAACGGAGGCCAAAAAAUGGUACGUAUAAUGAAGUCAUAACCACACACGAAUAGAAUCAUUUUGGUGGUCCAUAAAAAAUGCACAUAGGAUAAGAGGAAAUCCAAAGCAAAGGACACUUUUUUCCCAUGGUCAAUAUGUACGUAUGUGGGUGAGUGGAAUUAUCCCGAAAUGAGCUUCAAUGCCAAAACACCCCUAUGCGCUUGCCAAUAACUCAACCUACCAGGAAGAGUAAAUACAAAAAAAAUUUUAUCUGCCACGGACCGGCAUUUACAUAAAACCGAUUUCUGACAAGGUCCUGGCAUAACCGAAAAAAAAAAACAGAAAAAAAACGAAAAACUAUAGAAAAUGGAAAACUUACUGGGAGGUUUAUGCUGAAAAUUUUAAAUUAACUUUCUGAUGGCUGAGGCACUCAACCGAACAAGCACAUAUGACAAGCCGCUUACUCCUGCCUGCGACUCCUGCCAGAAUCCUGCUCCUUCCUGCGCGUCGUGCUGCCACUUAAUUAAGGACAUUGCUCCCUUGGCCCAAGGCAUGCAAAUGAAGAGCGUGGCUGGGCGUAAAAAAAUCAUUUUCUAUUAGCAAGCAAACAAUUUUAGCGCCGCAGUGUAAUAAAAUUUCUCGGAGUGGCGGACUAGUGGGGAAAUAGCGACAGCCCUCUCACUUAUCAAGGCUGAUAAAAAGCAAUAACGGAAAAAUACUUCGCCACCCACAGGAGCUGAAGCUGCAGCUUUUCGCACCCAACAAGACACAAAAAAUUAAACAAAAACUGUUCUCUAUAUUCUACUGGCAUUCACAUCCGCACACAAAUGAUUCAUUGUUUUCCUUUUAGUUCCGUAGAUAAUGGUUUUUCUAAUAAAUCACAAAUAUGUAUGUAAAAAAAAUGUA
Long non-coding RNA from Drosophila sechellia, 1187 nucleotides. RefSeq lists it as uncharacterized. The record is from RefSeq and is a predicted model, not a curated record. The transcript is spliced from 3 exons. NCBI's taxonomy places the organism in Eukaryota, Metazoa, Arthropoda, Insecta, Diptera, Drosophilidae.